CCUACGGGGGGCUGCAGUGGGGAAUAUUGGACAAUGGGGGGAACCUUGAUCCAGCCAUGCCGCGUGUGUGAAGAAGGCCCUCGGGUUGUAAAGCACUUUCAGUGAGGAAGAACGCCUGGUGGUUAAUACCCAUCAGGAAAGACAUCACUCACAGAAGAAGCACCGGCUAACUCCGUGCCAGCAGCCGCGGUAAUACGGAGGGUGCGAGCGUUAAUCGGAAUUACUGGGCGUAAAGCGCGCGUAGGUGGCUUGAUAAGCCGGUUGUGAAAGCCCCGGGCUCAACCUGGGAACGGCAUCCGGAACUGUCAAGCUAGAGUGCAGGAGAGGAAGGUAGAAUUCCCGGUGUAGCGGUGAAAUGCGUAGAGAUCGGGAGGAAUACCAGUGGCGAAGGCGGCCUUCUGGACUGACACUGACACUGAGGUGCGAAAGCGUGGGUAGCAAACAGGAUUAGAUACCCUAGUAGUC
RNAcentral lists this ribosomal RNA (465 nucleotides) under Vreelandella stevensii. RNAcentral describes it as "partial 16S ribosomal RNA". It matches the Rfam family "Bacterial small subunit ribosomal RNA", at positions 338 to 795 of the family's 1533-position model. The record is from RNAcentral. Lineage: Bacteria; Pseudomonadati; Pseudomonadota; Gammaproteobacteria; Oceanospirillales; Halomonadaceae.